AUUGAACGCUGGCGGCAUGCUUUACACAUGCAAGUCGAACGGCAGCGCGGGCUUCGGCCUGGCGGCGAGUGGCGAACGGGUGAGUAAUACAUCGGAACGUGCCCAGUAGUUGGGGAUAGCUCGGCGAAAGCCGGAUUAAUACCGCAUACGACCUGAGGGUGAAAGCGGGGGAUCUUCGGACCUCGCGCUAUUGGAGCGGCCGAUGGCAGAUUAGCUAGUUGGUGGGGUAAAGGCCUACCAAGGCGACGAUCUGUAGCUGGUCUGAGAGGACGACCAGCCACACUGGGACUGAGACACGGCCCAGACCCCUACGGGAGGCAGCAGUGGGGAAUUUUGGACAAUGGGCGAAAGCCUGAUCCAGCAAUGCCGCGUGUGUGAUGAAGGCCUUCGGGUUGUAAAGCACUUUUGGCGGGAACGAAAAGGACUGUGCCAAUACCACGGUUCGAUGACGGUACCCGCAGAAUAAGCACCGGCUAACUACGUG
RNAcentral lists this ribosomal RNA (484 nucleotides) under uncultured bacterium. RNAcentral describes it as "partial 16S ribosomal RNA". It matches the Rfam family "Bacterial small subunit ribosomal RNA", at positions 29 to 507 of the family's 1533-position model. The record is from RNAcentral.